RNAcentral lists this ribosomal RNA (1100 nucleotides) under Batrachospermum gelatinosum. RNAcentral's name for it is "LSU rRNA". It matches the Rfam family "Eukaryotic large subunit ribosomal RNA", at positions 34 to 1230 of the family's 3401-position model. Lineage: Eukaryota; Rhodophyta; Florideophyceae; Batrachospermales; Batrachospermaceae. The record is from RNAcentral.
UUAAGCAUAUAACUAAGCGGAGGAAAAGAAACUAACAAGGAUUCCCCUAGUAGCGGCGAGCGAAGCGGGAAGAGCCCGGGAUGAAAAUCUCUUCGGAGAGUUGUAGUCUGAGCUCCCUUGGGCGGUCAGUGUGGGUAAAUCGUCUGGGAUGACGUGCCAGGGAGGGUGAGAGCCCCGUCCAGCCCACACAGGACCCGCCCGCACGAGGGCGCUUCAACCGAGUCGGGUAGCUUGGGAAUGCUGCUCCAAAUGGUGGUAAAUCUCAUCAAAGGCUAAAUAACGGUGGGAGACCGAUAGCGAACAAGUACCGUGAGGGAAAGAUGGAAAGAACUUUGAAAAGAGAGUGAAAAGCGCUUGAAACCGUCACGGGGGAAGCGGAUUGCGUGAGUGAUGGCGUGCACUGUUCAGCUCAAAGUGUGGAGUGUAUUCUGUGCACGCCGGGCGUGUGUGGCUGGGGCGCGUGCGAUGUUGGCACGCGCACCUGGUGAGGGCUCCCCGCUUGUCGGGUGAGGACACACGCGAAAUGACGCAAUACGACCCGUCUUGAAACACGGACCAAGGAGUCUAGCACGGCUGCGAGUCGAAGGGUGUGAAAACCCAGAGGGCGCAGUGAAAGCGAAAGAAAGCAAAUUGGGGAGGCGUUGCGGUUUUACCAAAGUGUCCUACCUCGAGCACCUGUGCUGGGACCCGAAAGAUGGUGAACUAUGCCGGAGUAGGGCAAAGCCAGAGGAAACUCUGGUGGAGGCUCGUAGCGAUGCUGACGUGCAAAUCGCUCGUCGAACUUGGGUAUAGGGGCGAAAGACUAAUCGAACCAUCUAGUAGCUGGUUCCCUCCGAAGUUUCUCUCAGGAUAGCGGGCCGACGAUCAAGUUGUUUUGUGCGGUAAAGCGAAUGAUUAGUGCAUUUGGGGUCCGAAGGACGUCAGGCGAUUCUCAAACUUUAAAUGCGCAAGGGGGCGGCUGCUUAAUUGAGCCUGCUCUUUGAAAAACGUCGGCCCUGUGGGCCACUUUUGGUAAGCAGAACUGGCGAUAAGGGAUGAACCUUAAGCGCGGUUAAGGCGCCGUAUUGCCCGCUUAUAGACCCCACAAAAGGUGUUGAUUC